UACGGCCAUAUCACAUUGAAAUGUCAGUACGCGUUCGAUCACUGAAGUUAAGCAACACUGAACUUGGUGAGUAACUGGUUGGAUAACCGCUUGGGAAUAUCACGUGCUGCAAGC
Molecule: non-coding RNA, 114 nt
Organism: Acanthosepion pharaonis
Lineage: Eukaryota; Metazoa; Mollusca; Cephalopoda; Sepiida; Sepiidae
Source: the annotation of a GenBank genome assembly